RNAcentral lists this ribosomal RNA (372 nucleotides) under uncultured bacterium. RNAcentral's name for it is "bacterial SSU rRNA". It matches the Rfam family "Bacterial small subunit ribosomal RNA", at positions 523 to 897 of the family's 1533-position model. The record is from RNAcentral.
AUACGGAGGAUGCGAGCGUUAUCCGGAUUUAUUGGGUUUAAAGGGUGCGUAGGCGGAUGUUUAAGUCAGUUGUGAAAUCCUACGGCUUAACUUUAAAAUUGCCGUUGAUACUGAAAGCCUUGAGUGUGUUAAAUGUGGGCGGAAUGCGUGAUGUAGCGGUGAAAUGCUUAGAUAUUACGAAGAACUCCACUUGCGUAGGCAGCUCACUGGCCGGACACUGACGCUGAUGCACGAAAGGGUGGGUAUCAAACAGGAUUAGAUACCCUGGUAGUCCACGCAGUAAACGAUGAUUACUCGCUGUUGGCGAUAUACAGUAAGCGGCUAAGCGAAAGCAUUAAGUAUUCCACCUGGGGAGUACGGCCGCAAGGUUGA